RNAcentral lists this ribosomal RNA (133 nucleotides) under Vibrio cholerae. Its description in RNAcentral is "partial 23S ribosomal RNA". The stretch from base 1 to 111 matches the Rfam family "Bacterial large subunit ribosomal RNA", at positions 2815 to 2925 of the family's 2925-position model. The record is from RNAcentral. Lineage: Bacteria; Pseudomonadati; Pseudomonadota; Gammaproteobacteria; Vibrionales; Vibrionaceae.
GGUUUAACCGUCCUAAAGGGUUGUUCGAGACUAGAACGUUGAUAGGCAGGGUGUGUAAGCGUUGUGAGGCGUUGAGCUAACCUGUACUAAUUGCCCGUGAGGCUUAACCAUACAACACCCAAGGGGUUUUGUA